UUGACCUCGGAUCAGGUAGGGAUACCCGCUGAACUUAAGCAUAUCAAUAAGCGGAGGAAAAGAAACCAACAGGGAUUGCCUCAGUAACGGCGAGUGAAGCGGCAAGAGCUCAAAUUUGAAAGCUGGCCCCUUCGGGGUCCGCGUUGUAAUUUGCAG
Molecule: ribosomal RNA, 156 nt
Filed under: Aspergillus fumigatus
Lineage: Eukaryota; Fungi; Ascomycota; Eurotiomycetes; Eurotiales; Aspergillaceae
Description: partial 28S ribosomal RNA
Rfam family: Eukaryotic large subunit ribosomal RNA
Source: RNAcentral